Molecule: ribosomal RNA, 1251 nt
Filed under: Triticum aestivum (bread wheat)
Lineage: Eukaryota; Viridiplantae; Streptophyta; Magnoliopsida; Poales; Poaceae
Description: partial small subunit ribosomal RNA
Source: RNAcentral
AUGGGAGAAAUAAUUGAACCAAAGGCCAAGGGGGGACUUGGCUUCCGUGACUUCCGCAUCUUCAACCAGGCCUUCCUUGCUCGUCAAGCCUGUCGGCUACUCACCAGACCGGAUUCCUUAUGCUCUCAAGUAUUGAAAGCAAAAUAUUAUCCUAACGGGUCCCUUUAGGAUACGGUUUUUUCAGGUAAUGCAUCCCUAACAUGGCACACAAUCCAGCAUGGCCUCGAGUUGCUUAAGCAGGGGCUUGUGUGGAAAGUGGGCAACGGUGCGAGUAUCCGCAUAUGGCGGGACCCUUGGAUCCCGCGGCCCAUGUCCUAUAGGCCAAUCACGGCACGCGGCACAUGCCGGCUCCAACGAGUGUCAGAACUCCUUGACGACAAUGGUUGAUGGCGGGUAGGUCUCCUUCAACAAUUCUUCACCAUCCCUGAUGUGGAAUGCAUCUUGUCGAUCAAAACCAGCCCGCAAGGACUGGAUGACGUCCUAGCUUGGGCCCCUGACACCCGCGGCAUCUUCACUGUACGCAGCGCGUACAACCUUGCCCUGGAAGGACAAACCAGCACCACCGUGUGCUCCACGAGUAGGGCACCGGACGACACUCGUGCCGUCUGAAAGGCAGUGUGAGGGUGCCCUGCUCCCCCGAAGGUACAGGUGUUUGCAUGGCGUGUUGCAACGAACUCGCAAGCCACUCUUGAAAAUAAGCUUAAGCGAAAGCUCGAGGUCUCUAAUAUUUGUGUUUUAUGUGGAAUGGAGCCGCCGGAACGCUGGAUAAAACCACUAUUGGGGUGGGCGAAGCUAAAUGUUGAUGGCUCAUGGAAGGAACAGGAAGGUACAGGAGGCGCAGGAACGAUUUUGCGCGACCAUCAUGGUGCCAUGAUUUUUGCGUCGUGCAGGUUCAUUCAGAGAUGUUCGAGUGCUCUCGAGGCCGCGGUAGCGGCAUGCAUGGAGGGGGUGGCCCUGGCUCUUGAAUGGAGCACUGAAAGUCUUAUCGUCGAGACGGACUGCACGAUGGCGGCGCGCAUGAUCAGCGACCCUACGACCAAUAGGUCACUUGUAGGGGCUAUGGUGGGAGAAACAAGAGAGCUACUUGCUGGUCGUCAGCAUGAAAUACGAGUCAUCCGGAGAGAGCAGAAUAAGGCUAGUAAUGCACUUGCUCAAAUGGGCCGCUCGUUGCCCAAAACUGCCGUGUGGCUUCGGUGCGCUCCUGAAGAUGUUGACGUUUUGUGUCAACAAGACUUGAAUGACCUUGCUUAA